This 424-nucleotide ribosomal RNA is filed under the name uncultured bacterium. Its description in RNAcentral is "bacterial SSU rRNA". It matches the Rfam family "Bacterial small subunit ribosomal RNA", at positions 355 to 796 of the family's 1533-position model. The record is from RNAcentral.
UGGGGAAUAUUGGACAAUGGGGGAAACCCUGAUCCAGCAAUGCCGCGUGAGUGAGGAAGGCCUUAGGGUUGUAAAGCUCUUUCGGCGGGGACGAUGAUGACGGUACCCGCAGAAGAAGCCCCGGCUAACUUCGUGCCAGCAGCCGCGGUAAUACGAAGGGGGCGAGCGUUGUUCGGAUUUACUGGGCGUAAAGGGCGCGCAGGCGGCAGACCAAGUCAGAUGUGAAAGCCCCGGGCUCAACCUGGGAACUGCAUUUGGGACUGGUUUGCUAGAGAUCGGGAGAGGAGAGUGGAAUUCCCAGUGUAGAGGUGAAAUUCGUAGAUAUUGGGAAGAACACCGGUGGCGAAGGCGGCUCUCUGGACCGAUACUGACGCUGAGGCGCGAAAGCGUGGGGAGCAAACAGGAUUAGAUACCCGGGUAGUCC